GAUGAACGCUGGCGGCGUGCCUAAUACAUGCAAGUCGAGCGAACAGACGAGGAGCUUGCUCCUCUGAUGUUAGCGGCGGACGGGUGAGUAACACGUGGAUAACCUACCUAUAAGACUGGGAUAACUUCGGGAAACCGUAGCUAAUACCGGAUAAUAUAUUGAACCGCAUGGUUCAAUAGUGAAAGACGGUUUUGCUGUCACUUAUAGAUGGAUCCGCGCUGCAUUAGCUAGUUGGUAAGGUAACGGCUUACCAAGGCAACGAUGCGUAGCCGACCUGAGAGGGUGAUCGGACACACUGGAACUGAGACACGGUCCAGACUCCUACGGGAGGCAGCAGUAGGGAAUCUUCCGCAAUGGGCGAAAGCCUGACGGAGCAACGCCGCGUGAGUGAUGAAGGUCUUCGGAUCGUAAAACUCUGUUAUUAGGGAAGAACAAAUGUGUAAGUAACUAUGCACGUCUUGACGGUACCUAAUCAGAAAGCCACGGCUAACUACGUG
Molecule: ribosomal RNA, 497 nt
Filed under: uncultured bacterium
Lineage: Bacteria
Description: partial 16S ribosomal RNA
Rfam family: Bacterial small subunit ribosomal RNA
Source: RNAcentral